RNAcentral lists this ribosomal RNA (383 nucleotides) under uncultured bacterium. RNAcentral's name for it is "bacterial SSU rRNA". It matches the Rfam family "Bacterial small subunit ribosomal RNA", at positions 29 to 417 of the family's 1533-position model. The record is from RNAcentral.
AGCGAACGUUUGCGGCGGGCCUAACACAUGCAAGUCGAACGGGCUAGCAAUAGUCAGUGGCGCACGGGUGCGUAACACGUGGGUAAUCAACCCUUCAGCUCGGGAUAACGCCUUGAAAGGGGCGCUAAUACCGGAUGCGACGCGAGGAGCCUCGGCGCUUCGCGGGAAAGAUUCGCAAGGAUCACUGAAGGACGAGCCUGCGGCCCAUCAGCUAGUUGGUGAGGUAAGAGCUCACCAAGGCGAAGACGGGUAGCUGGUCUGAGAGGAUGAUCAGCCACACUGGAACUGAGACACGGUCCAGACUCCUACGGGAGGCAGCAGUGGGGAAUAUUGCGCAAUGGGCGAAAGCCUGACGCAGCCAGCCGCGUGAGCGAUGAAGGCCU